Transfer RNA from Aspergillus versicolor CBS 583.65, 90 nucleotides. It matches the Rfam family "tRNA". From Rfam's summary of the family: Transfer RNA (tRNA) molecules are approximately 80 nucleotides in length. Lineage: Eukaryota; Fungi; Ascomycota; Eurotiomycetes; Eurotiales; Aspergillaceae. The record is from Rfam.
GGUCUUGUGGUCUAAUGGUUAUGACAUCAGACUCUGAUACCAUAAUUAGAGUCACAUCUGGUAAUCCCGGUUCGAUCCCGGGCAGGACCU